GACGAACGCUGGCGGCGUGCUUAACACAUGCAAGUCGAACGGAAAGGCCCUGCUUUUGCGGGGUGCUCGAGUGGCGAACGGGUGAGUAACACGUGAGUAACCUGCCCUUGACUUUGGGAUAACUUCAGGAAACUGGGGCUAAUACAGGAUAGGAGCUCCUGCUGCAUGGUGGGGGUUGGAAAGUUUCGGCGGUUGGGGAUGGACUCGCGGCUUAUCAGCUUGUUGGUGGGGUAGUGGCUUACCAAGGCUUUGACGGGUAGCCGGCCUGAGAGGGGGACCGGCCACAUGGGGACUGAGAUACGGCCCAGACUCCUACGGGAGGCAGCAGUGGGGAAUAUGACACAAUGGGCGGAAGCCUGAUGCAGCAACGCCGCGUGCGGGAUGACGGCCUUCGGGUUGUAAACCGCUUUCGCCUGUGACGAAGCGUGAGUGACGGUAAUGGGUAAAGAAGCACCGGCUAACUACGUG
This 468-nucleotide ribosomal RNA is filed under the name uncultured bacterium. RNAcentral's name for it is "partial 16S ribosomal RNA". It matches the Rfam family "Bacterial small subunit ribosomal RNA", at positions 28 to 507 of the family's 1533-position model. The record is from RNAcentral.